AGUGAACGCUGGCGGCGUGCCUAACACAUGCAAGUCGAGCGAAGCGGCAGCUGUAGCAAUACAGUAUGUGCUUAGCGGCAGACGGGUGAGUAACACGUAGAUAACUUACCUCUUAGCGGGGGAUAGCCCGCCGAAAGGCGGGGUAAUACCGCGUAAGAUAUUCCUGUGGCAUCUUAGGAAUAUGAAACAUCCGCAAGGAUGGCUAAGAGAAAGAUCUGCGGCCUAUCAGCUAGUUGGCGGGGUAACGGCCCACCAAGGCUACGACGGGUAUCCGACCUGAAAGGGUGAUCGGACACACUGACACUGAGACACGGGUCAGACUCCUACGGGAGGCAGCAGUGAGGAAUUUUGGACAAUGGGGGAAACCCUGAUCCAGCGACGCCGCGUGAAGGAUGAAGGUCUUCGGAUUGUAAACUUCUUUUAUUUGGGACUAAGAAACCUGUAGAAUGCGGGGAGUGAAUGUACCAAGUGAA
Molecule: ribosomal RNA, 473 nt
Filed under: uncultured bacterium
Lineage: Bacteria
Description: bacterial SSU rRNA
Rfam family: Bacterial small subunit ribosomal RNA
Source: RNAcentral